RNAcentral lists this ribosomal RNA (250 nucleotides) under uncultured bacterium. Its description in RNAcentral is "partial 16S ribosomal RNA". It matches the Rfam family "Bacterial small subunit ribosomal RNA", at positions 525 to 773 of the family's 1533-position model. The record is from RNAcentral.
ACGUAGGGGGCGAGCGUUAUCCGGAUUCACUGGGCGUAAAGGGCGCGCAGGCGGCUAUGUAAGUCCGGCGUGAAAUCCCACGGCUCAACUGUGGAAUUGCGUCGGAUACUGCAUUGGCUCGAGGACGGUAGAGGCUUCUGGAACUAGCGGUGUAGCGGUGAAAUGCGCAGAUAUCGCUAGGAACGCCGGUGGCGAAGGCGGGAGGCUGGGCCGAUCCUGACGCUGAGGCGCGAAAGCUAGGGGAGCGAAC